UACGGGGGGGGCAAGCGUUGUUCGGAAUUACUGGGCGUAAAGGGCUCGUAGGCGGCCAACUAAGUCAGACGUGAAAUCCCUCGGCUUAACCGGGGAACUGCAUCUGAUACUGGAUGGCUUGAGUUCGGGAGAGGGAUGCGGAAUUCCAGGUGUAGCGGUGAAAUGCGUAGAUAUCUGGAGGAACACCGGUGGCGAAGGCGGCGUCCUGGACCAAUACUGACACUGAGGAGCGAAAGCCAGGGGAGCAAACGGG
RNAcentral lists this ribosomal RNA (253 nucleotides) under uncultured bacterium. RNAcentral's name for it is "partial 16S ribosomal RNA". It matches the Rfam family "Bacterial small subunit ribosomal RNA", at positions 524 to 776 of the family's 1533-position model. The record is from RNAcentral.